CACGUAGGGUGCGAGCGUUGUCCGGAAUUAUUGGGCGUACAGAGCUCGUAGGCGGUGUGUCGCGUCGGCCGUGAAAACCUGCAGCUUAACUGUGGGCUUGCGGUCGAUACGGGCAUCACUGGAGUUCGGCAGGGGAGACUGGAAUUCCUGGUGUAGCGGUGAAAUGCGCAGAUAUCAGGAGGAACACCGGUGGCGAAGGCGGGUCUCUGGGCCGAUACUGACGCUGAGGAGCGAAAGCGUGGGGAGCAAACAGG
Molecule: ribosomal RNA, 254 nt
Filed under: uncultured bacterium
Lineage: Bacteria
Description: partial 16S ribosomal RNA
Rfam family: Bacterial small subunit ribosomal RNA
Source: RNAcentral